This 440-nucleotide ribosomal RNA is filed under the name uncultured bacterium. Its description in RNAcentral is "partial 16S ribosomal RNA". It matches the Rfam family "Bacterial small subunit ribosomal RNA", at positions 338 to 795 of the family's 1533-position model. The record is from RNAcentral.
CCUACGGGAGGCAGCAGUAGGGAAUAUUGGUCAAUGGGGGCAAGCCUGAAGCAGCAACGCAGCGUGGAGGAUGAAGGUUUUAGGGGUGUUAACCUCUUUUGUUAGAGAAGUUUAUGACGGUAUGUAACGAAUAAGCACCGGCUAACUCCGUGCCAGCAGCCGCGGUAAUACGGAGGGUGCAAGCGUUACACGGAAUCACUGGGCGUAAUGAGUGCGUAGGCGGGGUAAUAAGUCAGAUGUGAAAGCCUGUAGCUUAACUACAGAACUGCAUUUGAAACUGUUACUCUGGAGUGUGGGAGAGGUAGGUGGAAUUCUUGGUGUAGGGGUAAAAUGCGUAGAGAUCAAGAGGAACACUGAUUGCGAAGGCAACUUGCUGGAACAUUACUGACGCUGAUGCACGAAAGCGUGGGGAGCAAACAGGAUUAGAUACCCGGGUAGUC